Molecule: ribosomal RNA, 254 nt
Filed under: uncultured bacterium
Lineage: Bacteria
Description: partial 16S ribosomal RNA
Rfam family: Bacterial small subunit ribosomal RNA
Source: RNAcentral
GACAGAGGUGCCGAGCGUUAGGCGGAAUCACUGGGCUUAAAGCGUGUGUAGGCGGCCCGUUAAGUGUCCGAGUGAAAUCCCCCGGCUCAACCGGGGAACCGCCGGGCAUACUGGCGGGCUUGGGCCGCUCAGGGGCAGACGGAACAGGCGGUGGAGCGGUGAAAUGCGUAGAUAUCUGGAGGAACACCGGUGGCGAAGGCGGCAUCCUGGACCGAUACUGACGCUGAGGAGCGAAAGCCAGGGGAGCAAACGGG